Molecule: long non-coding RNA, 277 nt
Filed under: Actinidia chinensis (golden kiwifruit)
Lineage: Eukaryota; Viridiplantae; Streptophyta; Magnoliopsida; Ericales; Actinidiaceae
Description: long non-coding RNA (ACHI_LNC000468)
Source: RNAcentral
GGGUUUGGAUUUUUUAGGAGAUGGAUUCUUCUCAUGACGAUGAUGCCGUUUUGAAACGAGUGAUCUACAUGCUCUUGCAAUGCCAAACAUUGUCGCAGCCGGAGACCAGAGAGAGAGAGAGAGAGAGAGGAGAGAGAGAGAAUGUUUGGUUAGGCAAAUAUGGAGGUUUUUGGGAGGCCUUUUAUUAGGAGGGGAUGUGGCUUUCUCAAUCAUUUCUCUGUUUGUUUCUUAAUUGUAGCCAUAUUUGUUUUUUUCCUGGUCCAUUCCAGCUCUAAUG